Molecule: ribosomal RNA, 506 nt
Filed under: uncultured bacterium
Lineage: Bacteria
Description: bacterial SSU rRNA
Rfam family: Bacterial small subunit ribosomal RNA
Source: RNAcentral
GAUGAACGCUAGCUACAGGCUUAACACAUGCAAGUCGAGGGGAAACGAUAGAGAAAGCUUGCUUUUUCUAGGCGUCGACCGGCGCACGGGUGAGUAACGCGUAUCCAACCUGCCCAUCACUUGGGGAUAACCUUGCGAAAGUAAGACUAAUACCCAAUGACGUCUCUAGAAGACAUCUGAAAGAGAUUAAAGAUUUAUCGGUGAUGGAUGGGGAUGCGUCUGAUUAGCUUGUUGGCGGGGUAACGGCCCACCAAGGCGACGAUCAGUAGGGGUUCUGAGAGGAAGGUCCCCCACAUUGGAACUGAGACACGGUCCAAAACUCCUACGGGAGGCAGCAGUGAGGAAUAUUGGUCAAUGGACGAGAGUCUGAACCAGCCAAGUAGCGUGCAGGAUGACGGCCCUAUGGGUUGUAAACUGCUUUUAUAAGGGAAUAAAGUGAGUCUCGUGAGACUUUUUGCAUGUACCUUAUGAAUAAGGACCGGCUAAUUCCGUGCCAGCAGCCGCGG